Molecule: ribosomal RNA, 1514 nt
Filed under: Vibrio sp.
Lineage: Bacteria; Pseudomonadati; Pseudomonadota; Gammaproteobacteria; Vibrionales; Vibrionaceae
Description: bacterial SSU rRNA
Rfam family: Bacterial small subunit ribosomal RNA
Source: RNAcentral
AGAGUUUGAUCAUGGCUCAGAUUGAACGCUGGCGGCAGGCCUAACACAUGCAAGUCGAGCGGAAACGAGUUAUCUGAACCUUCGGGGAACGAUAACGGCGUCGAGCGGCGGACGGGUGAGUAAUGCCUAGGAAAUUGCCCUGAUGUGGGGGAUAACCAUUGGAAACGAUGGCUAAUACCGCAUGAUGCCUACGGGCCAAAGAGGGGGACCUUCGGGCCUCUCGCGUCAGGAUAUGCCUAGGUGGGAUUAGCUAGUUGGUGAGGUAAGGGCUCACCAAGGCGACGAUCCCUAGCUGGUCUGAGAGGAUGAUCAGCCACACUGGAACUGAGACACGGUCCAGACUCCUACGGGAGGCAGCAGUGGGGAAUAUUGCACAAUGGGCGCAAGCCUGAUGCAGCCAUGCCGCGUGUGUGAAGAAGGCCUUCGGGUUGUAAAGCACUUUCAGUCGUGAGGAAGGUAGUGUAGUUAAUAGCUGCAUUAUUUGACGUUAGCGACAGAAGAAGCACCGGCUAACUCCGUGCCAGCAGCCGCGGUAAUACGGAGGGUGCGAGCGUUAAUCGGAAUUACUGGGCGUAAAGCGCAUGCAGGUGGUUUGUUAAGUCAGAUGUGAAAGCCCGGGGCUCAACCUCGGAAUAGCAUUUGAAACUGGCAGACUAGAGUACUGUAGAGGGGGGUAGAAUUUCAGGUGUAGCGGUGAAAUGCGUAGAGAUCUGAAGGAAUACCGGUGGCGAAGGCGGCCCCCUGGACAGAUACUGACACUCAGAUGCGAAAGCGUGGGGAGCAAACAGGAUUAGAUACCCUGGUAGUCCACGCCGUAAACGAUGUCUACUUGGAGGUUGUGGCCUUGAGCCGUGGCUUUCGGAGCUAACGCGUUAAGUAGACCGCCUGGGGAGUACGGUCGCAAGAUUAAAACUCAAAUGAAUUGACGGGGGCCCGCACAAGCGGUGGAGCAUGUGGUUUAAUUCGAUGCAACGCGAAGAACCUUACCUACUCUUGACAUCCAGAGAACUUUCCAGAGAUGGAUUGGUGCCUUCGGGAACUCUGAGACAGGUGCUGCAUGGCUGUCGUCAGCUCGUGUUGUGAAAUGUUGGGUUAAGUCCCGCAACGAGCGCAACCCUUAUCCUUGUUUGCCAGCGAGUAAUGUCGGGAACUCCAGGGAGACUGCCGGUGAUAAACCGGAGGAAGGUGGGGACGACGUCAAGUCAUCAUGGCCCUUACGAGUAGGGCUACACACGUGCUACAAUGGCGCAUACAGAGGGCGGCCAACUUGCGAAAGUGAGCGAAUCCCAAAAAGUGCGUCGUAGUCCGGAUUGGAGUCUGCAACUCGACUCCAUGAAGUCGGAAUCGCUAGUAAUCGUGGAUCAGAAUGCCACGGUGAAUACGUUCCCGGGCCUUGUACACACCGCCCGUCACACCAUGGGAGUGGGCUGCAAAAGAAGUAGGUAGUUUAACCUUCGGGGGGACGCUUACCACUUUGUGGUUCAUGACCGGGGUGAAGUCGUAACAAGGUAACC